GACGAACGCUGGCGGCGUGCCUAAUACAUGCAAGUCGAGCGAAUUUAUGGGAGCUUGCUCCCGUAAAUUAGCGGCGGACGGGUGAGUAACACGUGGGCAACCUGCCUAUAAGACUGGGAUAACUUCGGGAAACCGGAGCUAAUACCGGAUAAUUCCUUUCCUCACAUGGGGGAAGGCUGAAAGAUGGUUUACGCUAUCACUUAUAGAU
RNAcentral lists this ribosomal RNA (208 nucleotides) under uncultured bacterium. Its description in RNAcentral is "partial 16S ribosomal RNA". It matches the Rfam family "Bacterial small subunit ribosomal RNA", at positions 28 to 226 of the family's 1533-position model. The record is from RNAcentral.